CCUAGGCUCAGCCUUCACUAUUGUGUCCCUGGUGCCUAGAACAGAGCCUGGUACACAGAAGGUGCUCAAUGAAUGGUGAGUGAAUAAAUGGAGGAGGCUGAGAAGAAGGAGAGGUUCCUCAUUAGCUGGACUGGUGACCUUAGAUGAGGAAACUGAGGCCCAAAAGAGCUAAGUGCAUCUGCUCCAGGUCACAUGAAAGGACGAG
This 205-nucleotide long non-coding RNA is filed under the name Theropithecus gelada (gelada). Its description in RNAcentral is "lncRNA (ENSTGEG00000015255.1)". The record is from RNAcentral. Lineage: Eukaryota; Metazoa; Chordata; Mammalia; Primates; Cercopithecidae.